RNAcentral lists this ribosomal RNA (605 nucleotides) under Filobasidium magnum. RNAcentral's name for it is "eukaryotic LSU rRNA". It matches the Rfam family "Eukaryotic large subunit ribosomal RNA", at positions 77 to 668 of the family's 3401-position model. Lineage: Eukaryota; Fungi; Basidiomycota; Tremellomycetes; Filobasidiales; Filobasidiaceae. The record is from RNAcentral.
UCCCUAGUAACGGCGAGUGAAGCGGGAAGAGCUCAAAUUUGAAAUCUGGUGGCCUCAGGUCAUCCGAGUUGUAAUCUAUAGAAGUGUUUUCCGUGCUGGCUCAUGUACAAGUCCCUUGGAACAGGGCGUCAUAGAGGGUGAGAAUCCCGUCCUUGACAUGAACUACCAGUGCUCUGUGAUACAUUUUCAACGAGUCGAGUUGUUUGGGAAUGCAGCUCAAAAUGGGUGGUAAAUUCCAUCUAAAGCUAAAUAUUGGCGAGAGACCGAUAGCGAACAAGUACCGUGAGGGAAAGAUGAAAAGCACUUUGGAAAGAGAGUUAAACAGUAUGUGAAAUUGUUGAAAGGGAAACGAUUGAAGUCAGUCGUGCUCUUUGGAUUCAGCCGGUUCUGCCGGUGUACUUCCUUUGAGUGGGGUCAACAUCAGUUUUGAUCGCUGGAUAAAGGCUGGAGGAACGUAGUACCCUCGGGUAAACUUAUAGCCUCCUGUCACAUACAGUGGUUGGGACUGAGGAACGCAGCACGCCUUUAUGGCCGGGAUUCGUCCACGUACGUGCUUAGGAUGUUGACAUAAUGGCUUUAAACGACCCGUCUUGAAACACGGACCA